UGCUUGGGCGAGAGUAGUACUAGGA
Molecule: non-coding RNA, 25 nt
Filed under: Arabidopsis thaliana (thale cress)
Lineage: Eukaryota; Viridiplantae; Streptophyta; Magnoliopsida; Brassicales; Brassicaceae
Also listed under: 1 other name
Source: RNAcentral